Molecule: non-coding RNA, 106 nt
Organism: Ricinus communis (castor bean)
Lineage: Eukaryota; Viridiplantae; Streptophyta; Magnoliopsida; Malpighiales; Euphorbiaceae
Source: Rfam
AAACCGUGGUGUGAGCAACAUCUCAGCAAGUCCUUAUACCUCUCCCACGCAUCAUACAUAUUCUCAUCAUCAAACUGCACAAAAAAAGAAAUGUCAUUAUGCAUCU